AAUCAACGCUGGCGGCGUGCCUAACACAUGCAAGUCGAACGCGAAGACCCCGCAAGGGGUUGGUAGCGUGGCAAACGGGUGAGUAACGCGUGGGCGACCUACCUCAGAGUGGGGGAUAACCUUCCGAAAGGGAGGCUAAUACCGCAUGACAUGCCCUGUUUAGAUACAGGGACAUCAAAGCCGGGGAUCGUAAGACCUGGCGCUUGGAGAGGGGCCCGCGUCCGAUUAGCUAGUUGGGGGGUAACGGCUCACCAAGGCUCCGAUCGGUAUCCGGCCUGAGAGGGGCGGACGGACACACUGGAACUGAGACACGGUCCAGACUCCUACGGGAGGCAGCAGUGGGGAAUUGUUCGCAAUGGGCGCAAGCCUGACGACGCAACGCCGCGUGGAGGAUGAAGACUUU
This 403-nucleotide ribosomal RNA is filed under the name uncultured bacterium. RNAcentral describes it as "bacterial SSU rRNA". It matches the Rfam family "Bacterial small subunit ribosomal RNA", at positions 29 to 418 of the family's 1533-position model. The record is from RNAcentral.